UACGUAGGGUGCAAGCGUUAAUCGGAAUUACUGGGCGUAAAGCGUGCGCAGGCGGUUUUGUAAGUUUGUCGUGAAAUCCCCGGGCUCAACCCGGGAACUGCGUCCGAUACUGGAAGGCUUGAAUCCGGGAGAGGGAUGCGGAAUUCCAGGUGUAGCGGUGAAAUGCGUAGAUAUCUGGAGGAACACCGGUGGCGAAGGCGGCAUCCUGGACCGGUAUUGACGCGUGAGGCGCGAAA
Molecule: ribosomal RNA, 236 nt
Filed under: uncultured bacterium
Lineage: Bacteria
Description: partial 16S ribosomal RNA
Rfam family: Bacterial small subunit ribosomal RNA
Source: RNAcentral